UUGUGCCUACGGGAGGCAGCAGUGGGGGAUAUUGCACAAUGGGGGAAACCCUGAUGCAGCGACGCCGCGUGUGGGAAGACGGUCCUCUGGAUUGUAAACCACUGUCCCCAGGGACGAAGAUGACGGUACCUGGGGAGGAAGCUCCGGCUAACUACGUGCCAGCAGCCGCGGUAAUACGUAGGGAGCAAGCGUUGUCCGGAAUUACUGGGUGUAAAGGGAGCGUAGGCGGGAUGGCAAGUUGGGUGUUAACUCUACCGGCUCAACUGGUAGUCGCACUCAAAACUGCUAGUCUUGAGUGAGGGAGG
RNAcentral lists this ribosomal RNA (305 nucleotides) under uncultured bacterium. RNAcentral's name for it is "bacterial SSU rRNA". It matches the Rfam family "Bacterial small subunit ribosomal RNA", at positions 333 to 655 of the family's 1533-position model. The record is from RNAcentral.